Molecule: ribosomal RNA, 55 nt
Filed under: Trametes hirsuta
Lineage: Eukaryota; Fungi; Basidiomycota; Agaricomycetes; Polyporales; Polyporaceae
Description: partial 28S ribosomal RNA
Source: RNAcentral
UCUGACCUCUGACCUCAAAUCAGGUAGGACUACCCGCUGAACUUAAGCAUAUCAA